This 71-nucleotide transfer RNA is filed under the name Scincus scincus (sandfish skink). RNAcentral's name for it is "tRNA-Ser". It matches the Rfam family "tRNA". Rfam says of the family: Transfer RNA (tRNA) molecules are approximately 80 nucleotides in length. Their secondary structure includes four short double-helical elements and three loops (D, anti-codon, and T loops). Further hydrogen bonds mediate the characteristic L-shaped molecular structure. tRNAs have two regions of fundamental functional importance: the anti-codon, which is responsible for specific mRNA codon recognition, and the 3' end, to which the tRNAs corresponding amino acid is attached (by aminoacyl-tRNA synthetases). tRNAs cope with the degeneracy of the genetic code in two manners: having more than one tRNA (with a specific anti-codon) for a particular amino acid; and 'wobble' base-pairing, i.e. permitting non-standard base-pairing at the 3rd anti-codon position. Lineage: Eukaryota; Metazoa; Chordata; Lepidosauria; Squamata; Scincidae. The record is from RNAcentral.
GAGAAAGAAGCAUAUUGGCUAUGUGGUUGGCUUGAAACCAGUAGAAGGCGGUUCGAUUCCCCCCUUUCUUG